Non-coding RNA from Hamiltosporidium tvaerminnensis, 73 nucleotides. NCBI's taxonomy places the organism in Eukaryota, Fungi, Microsporidia, Dubosqiidae. The record is from the annotation of a GenBank genome assembly.
GCCGCAUUAGCUCAGUUGGUAGAGCGCCAGUCUUGUAAACUGGAGGCCAGUGGUUCGAAUCCGCUAUGCGGCU